CUGUGGUAGGUAUAACGGUAUAGGCGGUGCCAUAUGGUUUUCAUCACUUUAGAGAUUACAGUUCAUUUGAUAACAAUUCGUUGUAACUUUAAUAGUUUAUAUUGUCAGUUUCAAUUAGACAUAACAUUUCCUCCCUUCUAAUUUUCGAAUUCCAUAGUAAAGUUAUAGUAUACAAAUGAUAAGGUCAUUGACUCGGUCAUUGAUAAAAAUCUGUUGUAUAAAGCACGUGUGGAAAG
This 236-nucleotide long non-coding RNA is filed under the name Mytilus galloprovincialis (Mediterranean mussel). Lineage: Eukaryota; Metazoa; Mollusca; Bivalvia; Mytilida; Mytilidae. The record is from RNAcentral.